GUAGCAAAGGUCGGGGCCGAGCAGAACGUCUCAUCUGGCUACGCCCGUAGAAUGCGUGCAAUCUCAGCGAUGGACGGGGGUUCAAUUCCCCCCAUCUCCACCA
RNAcentral lists this transfer RNA (103 nucleotides) under Frigoribacterium faeni. RNAcentral's name for it is "tRNA-OTHER". It matches the Rfam family "transfer-messenger RNA", at positions 273 to 374 of the family's 374-position model. From Rfam's summary of the family: Bacterial tmRNA, also known as 10Sa RNA or SsrA, is named for its dual tRNA and mRNA-like properties. Its role is to liberate the mRNA from a stalled ribosome. Lineage: Bacteria; Bacillati; Actinomycetota; Actinomycetes; Micrococcales; Microbacteriaceae. The record is from RNAcentral. RNAcentral also lists the same sequence under 2 other names.